Molecule: ribosomal RNA, 1372 nt
Filed under: uncultured bacterium
Lineage: Bacteria
Description: bacterial SSU rRNA
Rfam family: Bacterial small subunit ribosomal RNA
Source: RNAcentral
GAUGAACGCUGGCGGCGUGCCUAAUACAUGCAAGUCGAGCGAACGGACGAGAAGCUUGCUUCUCUGAUGUUAGCGGCGGACGGGUGAGUAACACGUGGGUAACCUACCCAUAAGACUGGGAUAACUUCGGGAAACCGGAGCUAAUACCGGAUAAUAUUUUGAACCGCAUGGUUCAAAAGUGAAAGACGGUCUUGCUGUCACUUAUAGAUGGAUCCGCGCUGCAUUAGCUAGUUGGUAAGGUAACGGCUUACCAAGGCAACGAUGCAUAGCCGACCUGAGAGGGUGAUCGGCCACACUGGAACUGAGACACGGUCCAGACUCCUACGGGAGGCAGCAGUAGGGAAUCUUCCGCAAUGGGCGAAAGCCUGACGGAGCAACGCCGCGUGAGUGAUGAAGGUCUUCGGAUCGUAAAACUCUGUUAUUAGGGAAGAACAUAUGUGUAAGUAACUGUGCACAUCUUGACGGUACCUAAUCAGAAAGCCACGGCUAACUACGUGCCGGCAGCCGCGGUAAUACGUAGGUGGCAAGCGUUAUCCGGAAUUAUUGGGCGUAAAGCGCGCGUAGGCGGUUUUUUAAGUCUGAUGUGAAAGCCCACGGCUCAACCGUGGAGGGUCAUUGGAAACUGGAAAACUUGAGUGCAGAAGAGGAAAGUGGAAUUCCAUGUGUAGCGGUGAAAUGCGCAGAGAUAUGGAGGAACACCAGUGGCGAAGGCGACUUUCUGGUCUGUAACUGACGCUGAUGUGCGAAAGCGUGGGGAUCAAACAGGAUUAGAUACCCUGGUAGUCCACGCCGUAAACGAUGAGUGCUAAGUGUUAGGGGGUUUCCGCCCCUUAGUGCUGCAGCUAACGCAUUAAGCACUCCGCCUGGGGAGUACGACCGCAAGGUUGAAACUCAAAGGAAUUGACGGGGACCCGCACAAGCGGUGGAGCAUGUGGUUUAAUUCGAAGCAACGCGAAGAACCUUACCAAAUCUUGACAUCCUUUGACAACUCUAGAGAUAGAGCCUUCCCCUUCGGGGGACAAAGUGACAGGUGGUGCAUGGUUGUCGUCAGCUCGUGUCGUGAGAUGUUGGGUUAAGUCCCGCAACGAGCGCAACCCUUAAGCUUAGUUGCCAUCAUUAAGUUGGGCACUCUAAGUUGACUGCCGGUGACAAACCGGAGGAAGGUGGGGAUGACGUCAAAUCAUCAUGCCCCUUAUGAUUUGGGCUACACACGUGCUACAAUGGACAAUACAAAGGGCAGCGAAACCGCGAGGUCAAGCAAAUCCCAUAAAGUUGUUCUCAGUUCGGAUUGUAGUCUGCAACUCGACUACAUGAAGCUGGAAUCGCUAGUAAUCGUAGAUCAGCAUGCUACGGUGAAUACGUUCCCGGGUCU